GAUGAACGCUGGCGGCGUGCCUAAUACAUGCAAGUCGAGCGAACGGACGAGAAGCUUGCUUCUCUGAUGUUAGCGGCGGACGGGUGAGUAACACGUGUAUCCCCUACCUAUCAGUCUGGGAUCACUUCGGGAAACCGGAGCUAAUACCGUAUGAUCUUUUGCACCGCAUGGUUCAAAAGUGAAAUACGGUCUUGCUGUCACUUAUAGCUGGAUCCGGGCUGCAUUAGAUAGUUGGUAAGGUAACGGCUUACCAAGGCAACGAUGCAUAGCCGACCUGAGAGAGUGGUCGGCCACACGGGAAGUGAGCCACGGACCAUACUCCUGCGGGAGGCCGCAGUAGGGAAUGUUACGCAAUAGGGGGAAACCUGACGGAGCGGCGCCGCGUGAGAUGUAGAGGUGUUCCGAGCGUGAAACUGUGUUAUGAGGGAAGAACAGAUGUGUAAGUAACUGUACACAUAGUGACGGUAACUAGUCAGAAAGCCACGGCUAACUACGUG
Molecule: ribosomal RNA, 497 nt
Filed under: uncultured bacterium
Lineage: Bacteria
Description: partial 16S ribosomal RNA
Rfam family: Bacterial small subunit ribosomal RNA
Source: RNAcentral